This 254-nucleotide ribosomal RNA is filed under the name uncultured bacterium. RNAcentral's name for it is "partial 16S ribosomal RNA". It matches the Rfam family "Bacterial small subunit ribosomal RNA", at positions 524 to 776 of the family's 1533-position model. The record is from RNAcentral.
GACGUAGGGUGCAAGCGUUGUCCGGAAUUAUUGGGCGUAAAGAGCUCGUAGGCGGUGUGUCGCGUCGGCCGUGAAAACCUGCAGCUUAACUGUGGGCGUGCGGUCGAUACGGGCAUCACUGGAGUUCGGCAGGGGAGACUGGAAUUCCUGGUGUAGCGGUGAAAUGCGCAGAUAUCAGGAGGAACACCGGUGGCGAAGGCGGGUCUCUGGGCCGGUACUGACGCUGAGGAGCGAAAGCGUGGGGAGCGAACAGG